RNAcentral lists this ribosomal RNA (879 nucleotides) under uncultured bacterium. RNAcentral's name for it is "bacterial SSU rRNA". It matches the Rfam family "Bacterial small subunit ribosomal RNA", at positions 11 to 890 of the family's 1533-position model. The record is from RNAcentral.
GUUUGAUCCUGGCUCAGGAUGAACGCUAGCUACAGGCUUAACACAUGCAAGUCGAGCGAAGCACCUAAGAAAGAUUCUUCGGAUGAAUUCUUUUGUGACUGAGCGGCGGACGGGUGAGUAACGCGUGGGUAACCUGCCUCAUACAGGGGGAUAACAGUUAGAAAUGACUGCUAAUACCGCAUAAGACCACGGUACCGCAUGGUACAGUGGUAAAAACUCCGGUGGUAUGAGAUGGACCCGCGUCUGAUUAGCUAGUUGGUGGGGUAACGGCCUACCAAGGCGACGAUCAGUAGCCGACCUGAGAGAGUGACCGGCCACAUUGGGACUGAGACACGGCCCAAACUCCUACGGGAGGCAGCAGUGGGGAAUAUUGCACAAUGGGGGAAACCCUGAUGCAGCGACGCCGCGUGAAGGAUGAAGUAUUUCGGUAUGUAAACUUCUAUCAGCAGGGAAGAAAAUGACGGUACCUGACUAAGAAGCCCCGGCUAACUACGUGCCAGCAGCCGCGGUAAUACGUAGGGGGCAAGCGUUAUCCGGAUUUACUGGGUGUAAAGGGAGCGUAGACGGCAUUGCAAGCCAGAUGUGAAAGCCCGGGGCUCAACCCCGGGACUGCAUUUGGAACUGUAGAGCUAGAGUGUCGGAGAGGCAAGUGGAAUUCCUAGUGUAGCGGUGAAAUGCGUAGAUAUUAGGAGGAACACCAGUGGCGAAGGCGGCUUGCUGGACGAUGACUGACGUUGAGGCUCGAAAGCGUGGGGAGCAAACAGGAUUAGAUACCCUGGUAGUCCACGCCGUAAACGAUGACUACUAGGUGUCGGGUAGCAAAGCUAUUCGGUGCCGCAGCAAACGCAAUAAGUAGUCCACCUGGGGAGUACGUUCGCA